RNAcentral lists this ribosomal RNA (253 nucleotides) under uncultured bacterium. RNAcentral's name for it is "partial 16S ribosomal RNA". It matches the Rfam family "Bacterial small subunit ribosomal RNA", at positions 524 to 776 of the family's 1533-position model. The record is from RNAcentral.
UACGUAGGUGACAAGCGUUAUCCGGAUUUAUUGGGCGUAAAGCGCACGCAGGCGGCUCUUCAAGUCUGACGUGAAAUCUCUCGGCUUAACCGGGAGCGGUCGUUGGAAACUGAAGGGCUUGAGGCGAUGAGAGGGGUGUGGAAUUCCCGGUGUAGUGGUGGAAUGCGUAGAUAUCGGGAGGAACAUCAGUGGCGAAAGCGCUCUACUGGACGGUGACUGACACUCAGGGACGAAAGCUAGGGGAGCGAAUGGG